Molecule: long non-coding RNA, 1513 nt
Filed under: Felis catus (domestic cat)
Lineage: Eukaryota; Metazoa; Chordata; Mammalia; Carnivora; Felidae
Description: lncRNA (ENSFCAG00000051989.1)
Source: RNAcentral
GCGUACCUUCCUCAUGUGCCCACUCUGCCAUACCUGUGCCGUAUGGAAUAAUUCCAAGAUCUGCCCCAUGGCAAGGUGAGACAGGGACAAGAGCAAGGGAAUGGGUAGGUGUUUGGGACACCUGGGUCUGGCUGUGGGGAGGCAGUGCUGGCCCUGCAGUAUGUCCCCUCGCCCUUUCUUGCAGUUGGGCUACUUCUCUGUCUGGGGACUGUGUUCUUCAGCAUCUUUAUGUCCUUGUGGGCCACGGCCUUCCUGGAGCACCGGAAGUGCAAGAGCAUCACCCUUGUCCACCACUGGGACCGCAGUGACUUCCAGGAAGAGGAGCCAAUAGAACUCUGACCAUCUCUACCUUUUGCCCAGAGAUGCACAGAACCCAGACCUUCCACGAAGACCUUCACUUUCAGAGUCUUCUUCUUUGAGUUUGUCGAUUUUCUACUUUUCCUUCUACAUGGCAUUCUUCCAAGGCAGGGGAGGACCCCCUACCCCACCCGGGGCUGUUGCCUCCCAACAAAGUGGGCCGACAGAGUGGCAUCAUCCUUGAACCUCCAGAUUUGUUUCUACCAAGGUCUUGCCGUUGACCUUGAAAUUGGUCCUCGAUUUCCCUGGGCUUCAGUUUCCUCAACUGUAAUGUGCUAACACAUCACUGGGUCAAUAUGAAACUUCAACACCUGCAUUCAUCAUUCACUCAGCCCUCAAGGUGGCCCAGGUCUGACACCCCACUUCUCAGCGCUGCCGUUUGGGUUCAUUGCCAUCUGUGUGGCGGGUUUCCUGCUGGCACCCCUCUUUGCUGUGCUCAACAACUGGGUGGAGAUCCGACUUGGACGCCCGCAAGUUCGCUCAUGCGGUGUUCUCCGUGCACCUCCUCGCCUGGCUCGUGCCCGACGUGCCAGCCGCCCUGGUUGCCAAGGUAAAGCGCGAAGCGCUAUCCGGCCGAGCAGGAGCCUGCGGACGACCGGGAGUCGCUGCUUUCGGUCCGCUCUGCUAACGGAUCCUGGCUCCUCCCCCUCUGAGCCUGCCCUCCCCUCGACCCGCCCUCAGACCUUAGCUCCGCCCCCUCUUGCUCCGCCCUCUGGUUUGGCCUCUCCUGGAGAGAGAAUUGGCCGGGAGUCCCUACGGUUUCUGCCUGGCCCCGCCCCUCACCAAACCCCGCCCACGCCACGCCCCUUCUAUUACAUUCUCCCCACCUGCGUCCCCUCUGCUCUCGAAGGCCCGCCUAUUCACCCUGACCAAGCCACCAUGCUUUCUGUCCUGUGCAGCAGGGGCUCUGUCCCCAGAGCCCAGGACCAGGGGCGAGUGGGGAGGGGACUUCCAAAAACCUGGAUUCCCCAGAUGCUUCCUUCCAUUUGGGGUCCUCUGCUUCCGGCUGGGGUCUUGGGCAGUACCUUGGCCAGCGGCCCCAAGUUUGGCCUGGGAGAGCUCUAGGGAGACCGUUAGUCCUGCAUUGCCUUCCUCUCCCUGUCCCCGUCUCCUGCUCUGUGUGCAAUGCGGGCAAUAAACCUCUCUCUGCCCCCCA